CGAGGCGAACCGGGGGAACUGAAACAUCUAAGUACCCCGAGGAAAAGAAAUCAACCGAGAUUCCGAAAGUAGCGGCGAGCGAAAUUGGACUAGCCCUUAAGCUUUAUAGGCGUUAGGUGAACAAGCUGGAAAGCUUGGCGAUACAGGGUGAUAGCCCCGUAACUGACGACGCAUAUUCAGUGAAAUCGAGUAGGGCGGGACACGUGAUAUCCUGUCUGAAUAUGGGGGGACCAUCCUCCAAGGCUAAAUACUACUGACUGACCGAUAGUGAACCAGUACCGUGAGGGAAAGGCGAAAAGAACCCCUGUGAGGGGAGUGAAAUAGAACCUGAAACCGUGUACGUACAAGCAGUAGGAGCAGGCUUUGUCCUGUGACUGCGUACCUUUUGUAUAAUGGGUCAGCGACUUAUAUUCAGUGGCAAGGUUAACCAUCUAGGGGAGCCGUAGGGAAACCGAGUCUUAACUGGGCGUUCAGUCUCUGGAUAUAGACCCGAAACCAGGUGAUCUAGCCAUGGGCAGGUUGAAGGUUGAGUAACAUCAACUGGAGGACCGAACCGACUAAUGUUGAAAAAUUAGCGGAUGACUUGUGGCUAGGGGUGAAAGGCCAAUCAAACCUGGAGAUAGCUGGUUCUCCCCGAAAGCUAUUUAGGUAGCGCCUCGGACGAAUACUACUGGGGGUAGAGCACUGUUAAGGCUAGGGGGUCAUCCCGACUUACCAACCCUUUGCAAACUCCGAAUACCAGUAAGUACUAUCCGGGAGACACACGGCGGGUGCUAACGUCCGUCGUGGAGAGGGAAACAACCCAGACCGCCAGCUAAGGUCCCAAAUUACUACUAAGUGGGAAACGAUGUGGGAAGGCUCAGACAGCCAGGAUGUUGGCUUAGAAGCAGCCAUCAUUUAAAGAAAGCGUAAUAGCUCACUGGUCGAGUCGGCCUGCGCGGAAGAUGUAACGGGGCUAAGUAGUAAACCGAAGCUGCGGCAAUA
This 984-nucleotide ribosomal RNA is filed under the name Vibrio antiquarius. Its description in RNAcentral is "bacterial LSU rRNA". It matches the Rfam family "Bacterial large subunit ribosomal RNA", at positions 175 to 1210 of the family's 2925-position model. The record is from RNAcentral. Lineage: Bacteria; Pseudomonadati; Pseudomonadota; Gammaproteobacteria; Vibrionales; Vibrionaceae.